Scytonema tolypothrichoides VB-61278 is the source of this 62-nucleotide non-coding RNA. Lineage: Bacteria; Bacillati; Cyanobacteriota; Cyanophyceae; Nostocales; Scytonemataceae. The record is from Rfam.
AUGUAAAUGCACCCUGAUAACUCACUUCCCUAGUUGGCUACUCGCUGCUGGGGAUUUAUUUU